AUGAGACCAGUGUUAGGAAUAACUCUUUGCCUUACUUUGGGUAUUACGGUUGAUGCCAAGUCCACACAGCCAGAUGCCAUGGAGAGUACUGAAGGAGAAACGGUGCAUCUGCCUUGUAACCACUCCACAAUCAGUGGAAGUGAGUACAUACAUUGGUAUCGCCAGACUGCCCACCAGGGUCCAGAGUAUAUGAUUCAUGGUUUAAAAGGCAAUGUGAGCGAAGGAAUAGCCAUUCUGAACAUUGCAGCAGAUAGAAAGUCCAGCACCUUGAUCCUGCCCCAUGUCACCCUGAGAGACUCCGCCGUGUACUACUGCAUCGUGAGAGAGCCACAGUGA
This is a non-coding RNA of Pteronotus mesoamericanus, 336 nucleotides long. The record is from the annotation of a RefSeq genome assembly. Lineage: Eukaryota; Metazoa; Chordata; Mammalia; Chiroptera; Mormoopidae.